UACGGAGGGUGCAAGCGUUGUCCGGAUUUAUUGGGUUUAAAGGGUGCGUAGGCGGUCAACUAAGUCAGUGGUGAAAGGCAGCAGCUCAACUGUUGCACUGCCAUUGAUACUGGAUGACUUGAGUACAGACGAGGUAGGCGGAAUUUAUGGUGUAGCGGUGAAAUGCAUAGAUACCAUAAAGAACACCGAUUGCGAAGGCAGCUUACUAGGCUGUAACUGACGCUGAGGCACGAAAGCGUGGGGAUCGAACGGG
RNAcentral lists this ribosomal RNA (253 nucleotides) under uncultured bacterium. RNAcentral describes it as "partial 16S ribosomal RNA". It matches the Rfam family "Bacterial small subunit ribosomal RNA", at positions 524 to 776 of the family's 1533-position model. The record is from RNAcentral.